This is a long non-coding RNA of Rhagoletis pomonella (apple maggot), 203 nucleotides long. RefSeq lists it as uncharacterized. The transcript is spliced from 3 exons. Lineage: Eukaryota; Metazoa; Arthropoda; Insecta; Diptera; Tephritidae. The record is from RefSeq and is a predicted model, not a curated record.
UUUCUAUGGUCAGAAGGAUGUCGUAAAUUAAAUGCAAGGAUCUGAUCCUGACUGCAUAAAGUGUGGACGCUGCUUUCAUUGCCCAAGAAUUCAGCGCAAACAUCACCGCUUUUUACAGUCAUCUAACAGCGUAAACAGGGAAACAAACACCUGCAAUAAAACCAACUACUCCAUUAACACCAGCUAACCACCCAGUCAAGAGA